GAGGGUAGGUGUGCACUUGCACUACAAACAUCCACUGUGUAGAAACAAAUAAAGGGUCGUUAUUCAUUGGCUUCGCACUCUGCCCUGCUUUAACCAGAACCAAACUAUCUCAUCUCAGACCCCCCAUCACAUACGAUAUUGUUCUUCCCAUAUAAAACCCAAUGUGACAGUAGCUAACACAAGACGAGAACACUCGUUUUCUCAGCCGGCACCAAAUUUCCAGAACAAGGUAAUGAAGAAACUAGUGUUUAUGAGUUUGAAAACCACUCACCCACCUACCAACCAACCAACAAAACCCGACCCCUUUUUCUCUCUCUCUCUCUUUUUUUUGUUUUUUUGUUUUUUUUUUGUUUUUUUAUCUUCUGCUACAAUUUCAGAGAUUUUGACCCCACCCUUCUCAUUUAACCCCCACAUACAUACAUCUUCUUAGAUUUCUCCUUUCCUUCUUUUUUUUUUCCCUAAUAUAAAAAAAGAUUCAUUUUUCUAUAUGUUUAAUGUGUGUAAAGACUGAGUUUUUAGCAAUCAAAGGAGACAUCUUUAUACAUAUAUAAUUUUGUUAUUAUCAUUGUCAUUGUGGCUACCACAACAAGGCAACAGCCAUCAGACGCUGGAGCCACUGCUGAUUGGGCAACAUCGUCGUCCAAAACUAUCUUAGCUGCCCCCGAUAACCUUUCCCUUGGCUUCAACGCUAACGCUGCCGCCUUGGCUGCUGUUGCUCCCUCUGGAUCCACCAACGCCCAAUGGCAACCCUCUUCUCGUCCACUCAACUACGGCUUUCCACCUGAUAUGGGGAUGGUUGGUCUCCGAGAUUUCGUCCUUGUUACUCCUGCGUCAUUUAACCAUCACCAUCGCCACCAUCAUACUCAAGAUUCCAUCAUGGCAAACGAUCAAAUCAACGGUCCGAAUGAUCCCACGGCACUUGGUGUUGGUGUUAUCCCACUUCUUACAGCAGCUCCAUGUUUAGCUCCACAUCACGCGGAAGACACUGAUUUGUUGAAUAACAAUGAUCGCAGCAAAUUCACCGGGAUGCGGUUAUGGCAGAAGCCAAAUUCUUCUCAUUAUCUUAUAAAAUCGUCUUCAAACCCUAAUAACCAUAAUUCCUCUUCCAUGAAUUUGAUACAAAGCAGCGGUGGUAUCGGUGGGACGGGGAGCGGGAGUGGUGGUUCGGGUUUAAGCUCAGGGGCCACGUGUCAAGACUGUGGGAACCAAGCUAAGAAAGAUUGUAGCUAUAGGAGAUGUAGAACAUGUUGUAAAAGUCGAAGUUUUGAUUGCCCUACUCACGUGAAGAGCACGUGGGUGCCAGCUGCUAGAAGGAGAGAUCGUCAGCUCAUGACGGUUGGAGCUACUGCUGCUGGUGCUGGUUUGUCAGGCUCGACUGCAGGGCCUAAGAAGCCAAGACUUAGAACAUCACAGACUACAACCGCUUCUCAUACAUCGACUUCCAACGCUACAACUCCUCCUAGAAGCUUGGACACUUGCUCAAGUCCCCAGAAUGCGGAGUUUAAAGAGCCACUGCCGGCGCAAGUUCGUGCAACGGCGGUAUUUAAGUGUGUAAGAGUGACGACAAUCGAGGAGGGGGAGGAUGAGUUUGCAUAUGAAGCAGUUGUUAAGAUUGGUGGACAUGUGUUCAAAGGGUUGCUCUAUGAUCAAGGAGUUGAUGGGUUUCCUAAUAUAUCCCAACUGCAUUUAAGUGGGAGAAAUGGGGAGUCAUCCUCAUCUCCCGUUCUCGAUCCUUCUCAAGUUUAUGAAGCGACCACUGGAGGCGGCUUGCUUCGUGGUUCGAAUUAUGGUUGUACAAGGAACUGAUAUCAUCUUUCAGGGUUAAAAAUAGGCUCGGGGGGAUCCAGUAUAGUGAAAUUCGGUUUUUUUGCUGCCUAAUAAGUCUUCAUAGGGUUUUGUUGCUGAAAGAGGGUGAUGAUCAUCAUUUGUCAGCGAGCGUACAUUUCCCUACACUAUCCAGAUAUGUUUUGUACUGAUUUAUAAAUCAUAUCCUGCACUAGCACUGAGGACAAUAUUUGUUCCUUGAAAACUUUGCUUUCUUAAAGUAGGUGCUUUUAUUUCCUUCCCUUACUCCGUUGUUCAUUUGAGUUGUGCAAAGGUGAAAAUCUACAGUGUAAGUGCUUUUCGCCAUCUAACGACAAUGACAUUGUGUUAUGAACCUUUUAUGUGUA
Molecule: RNA transcript, 2171 nt
Organism: Gossypium raimondii (Peruvian cotton)
Lineage: Eukaryota; Viridiplantae; Streptophyta; Magnoliopsida; Malvales; Malvaceae
Gene name: protein LATERAL ROOT PRIMORDIUM 1
Exons: 3
Source: RefSeq, a predicted model, not a curated record